UCAAUAAGCGGAGGAAAAGAAACUAACAAGGAUUCCCCUAGUAGCGGCGAGCGAAGCGGGAAGAGCUCAAAUUUAUAAUCUGGCACCUUCGGUGUCCGAGUUGUAAUCUCUAGAAAUGUUUUCCGCGUUGGACCGCACACAAGUCUGUUGGAAUACAGCGGCAUAGUGGUGAGACCCCCGUAUAUGGUGCGGACGCCCAGCGCUUUGUGAUACAUUUUCGAAGAGUCGAGUUGUUUGGGAAUGCAGCUCAAAUUGGGUGGUAAAUUCCAUCUAAAGCUAAAUAUUGGCGAGAGACCGAUAGCGAACAAGUACCGUGAGGGAAAGAUGAAAAGCACUUUGGAAAGAGAGUUAACAGUACGUGAAAUUGUUGGAAGGGAAACGCUUGAAGUCAGACUUGCUUGCUGAGCAAUCGGUUUGCAGGCCAGCAUCAGUUUUCCGGGAUGGAUAAUGGUAGAGAGAAGGUAGCAGUUUCGGCUGUGUUAUAGCUCUCUGCUGGAUACAUCUUGGGGGACUGAGGAACGCAGUGUGCCUUUGGCGGGGGUUUCGACCUCUUCACACUUAGGAUGCUGGUGGAAUGGC
RNAcentral lists this ribosomal RNA (579 nucleotides) under Rhodotorula mucilaginosa. Its description in RNAcentral is "partial large subunit ribosomal RNA". It matches the Rfam family "Eukaryotic large subunit ribosomal RNA", at positions 43 to 638 of the family's 3401-position model. The record is from RNAcentral. Lineage: Eukaryota; Fungi; Basidiomycota; Microbotryomycetes; Sporidiobolales; Sporidiobolaceae.